This 82-nucleotide transfer RNA is filed under the name bacterium. RNAcentral describes it as "tRNA-Leu". It matches the Rfam family "tRNA". From Rfam's summary of the family: Transfer RNA (tRNA) molecules are approximately 80 nucleotides in length. Their secondary structure includes four short double-helical elements and three loops (D, anti-codon, and T loops). Further hydrogen bonds mediate the characteristic L-shaped molecular structure. tRNAs have two regions of fundamental functional importance: the anti-codon, which is responsible for specific mRNA codon recognition, and the 3' end, to which the tRNAs corresponding amino acid is attached (by aminoacyl-tRNA synthetases). tRNAs cope with the degeneracy of the genetic code in two manners: having more than one tRNA (with a specific anti-codon) for a particular amino acid; and 'wobble' base-pairing, i.e. permitting non-standard base-pairing at the 3rd anti-codon position. The record is from RNAcentral.
GCCGUGGUGGCGGAACUGGUAUACGCGUACGCCUCAGAAGCGUAUCCCGCAAGGGUUGGGAGUUCGAGUCUCCCCCACGGCA